RNAcentral lists this transfer RNA (73 nucleotides) under Alligator mississippiensis (American alligator). It matches the Rfam family "tRNA". From Rfam's summary of the family: Transfer RNA (tRNA) molecules are approximately 80 nucleotides in length. Their secondary structure includes four short double-helical elements and three loops (D, anti-codon, and T loops). Further hydrogen bonds mediate the characteristic L-shaped molecular structure. tRNAs have two regions of fundamental functional importance: the anti-codon, which is responsible for specific mRNA codon recognition, and the 3' end, to which the tRNAs corresponding amino acid is attached (by aminoacyl-tRNA synthetases). tRNAs cope with the degeneracy of the genetic code in two manners: having more than one tRNA (with a specific anti-codon) for a particular amino acid; and 'wobble' base-pairing, i.e. permitting non-standard base-pairing at the 3rd anti-codon position. Lineage: Eukaryota; Metazoa; Chordata; Crocodylia; Alligatoridae. The record is from Rfam by way of RNAcentral.
GCUUUGCUAGCUCAGUUGGUAGAGCAUCAGACUCUUAAUGUCAGAGUCAUGGGUUCAAGCCCUGUGUCAGACA